This 249-nucleotide ribosomal RNA is filed under the name uncultured bacterium. RNAcentral's name for it is "partial 16S ribosomal RNA". The record is from RNAcentral.
GGUGGAGGAUGAUCGUCAACAUCAGUCGACGGGUCCAUUAUCGCUCCGGGGACUACCACACAGUGAUACAAUGGUAGGUACAAGAGGAGCGAGCUACCCUGCAGAAGGGAUGCGAACUCUCGAAAGCCUAUCUCAUUCGAGUAUUGGAGGCUGAAACCCCGCUCGUCCAUAGAAUUGGAUUCGCAUAAUAAUCGCNCCAUCAANCCAUGGCGCUGGUUGAAUACGUUCCCGGUGUCUUGUACACACCGA